UACGUAGGGGGCUAGCGUUGUCCGGAAUCAUUGGGCGUAAAGAGCGCGUAGGCGGUGCGGUAAGAGUGUUGUGAAAUCUCGGGGCUUAACUCCGAAACUGCAUUCGAUACUGCGGUGCUUGAGGACUGGAGAGGAGACUGGAAUUCAUGGUGUAGCAGUGAAAUGCGUAGAGAUCAUGAGGAAGACCAGUGGCGAAGGCGGGUCUCUGGACAGUUCCUGACACUGAGACACGAAGGCCAGGGGAGCAAACGGG
RNAcentral lists this ribosomal RNA (253 nucleotides) under uncultured bacterium. RNAcentral's name for it is "partial 16S ribosomal RNA". It matches the Rfam family "Bacterial small subunit ribosomal RNA", at positions 524 to 776 of the family's 1533-position model. The record is from RNAcentral.